GACGAACGCUGGCGGCGUGCUUAACACAUGCAAGUCGAACGGGCCCGCCCCUGUUUUUGGGGGUGGGUUGAGUGGCGAACGGGUGAGUAUCACGUGAGUAACCUGCCCCCUGCUCCUGGAUAACUGCUUGAAAGGGCGGCUAAUACGGGGUGUGCCGGCUGGUCCGCAUGGGCCUGGUCGGGAUAGUUUCAUCUUCGGGUGUUUCGGUGGGGGAUGGGCUCGCGGCCUAUCAGCUUGUUGGUGGGGUGAUGGCCCACCAAGGCGGUGACGGGUAGCCGGCCUGAGAGGGUGGGCGGCCACACUGGGACUGAGACACGGCCCAGACUCCUGCGGGAGGCAGCAGUGGGGGGGAUUGCACAAUGGGCGGAAGCCUGAUGCAGCGACGUCGCGUGAGGGAUGGAGGCCUUCGGGUUGUGAACCUCUUUCUCCGGUGGUGAAGGCCCUGUCCGUUGCGGCGGGGUUGACGGUAGCCGGGUAUGAAGCGCCGGCUAACUACGUG
Molecule: ribosomal RNA, 499 nt
Filed under: uncultured bacterium
Lineage: Bacteria
Description: partial 16S ribosomal RNA
Rfam family: Bacterial small subunit ribosomal RNA
Source: RNAcentral